GAAAUACGAUAAGUAGUAUAAAUUGCAGAAUUUAGUAAAUUAUCGAAUCUUUGAACGCAUAUUGCGCCUCUUAGUAUUCUAUAGAGCAUGCCUAUUUGAGCGUUAUUUAUACUCUUAAGCUUUACUUAGUAUUGAGUAUUUAUCCUCUCCUCUACGUUUAGACUCGCCUUAAAGUAAUUAGUAGCUAGUAUUUUAGUAUUAAAGCGCAGCAUAUUUUGCGAUUCUAGCCGGUAAUACUUGCGUCUAUAAGCCUUUUUAACUUUUAACCUCAGAUUAGGUAGAGAUACUCGCUGAACUUAA
Molecule: unclassified non-coding RNA, 300 nt
Filed under: uncultured fungus
Lineage: Eukaryota; Fungi
Description: sequence contains ITS1
Rfam family: 5.8S ribosomal RNA (bases 1-105)
Source: RNAcentral